GUAAAGACCAAACAAAAGAGAAGUAUGAGGACGUUCGUCUUGCAGAGAGCUGAUGGUGGUGUAAAUCAGCAGAUUGACGCUUCAGAAAUGGACUUUUGUGUCGAAAGGCUGAAAUCAGUAGGCUUUUUUCGGGAUCUCCCGUUACAGAGAACGAUCGUUGAUAGACGAUCUAGAGAACCAAGUGAGGUGGCACCGUGAGUAAUCGCCCUCAUG
Molecule: non-coding RNA, 213 nt
Filed under: Enterococcus casseliflavus
Lineage: Bacteria; Bacillati; Bacillota; Bacilli; Lactobacillales; Enterococcaceae
Description: T-box sequence
Rfam family: T-box leader
About the family: Uncharged tRNA acts as the effector for transcription antitermination of genes in the T-box leader family.
Source: RNAcentral